ACAGAUGUUUUGAGUUCUUACCAAUUACAUGCCUAGAGUGUAAAAAACUCUGGGUCACUGGUUCUGAUUUUGACCUUUCCAUUCAUAAGAGAAAGACUGAGCUCUCUGAGAAUAUACUAACAUAUGGAAACCAAUUAUUUGCUCUCACUUUAACUCUACAGACUAUCAAAAAGAAAAAUAACACAACACACUCUGGCUUCAAGGCAUGUAAAAUAAAACAGUACCGUAUACACAGACUGAAGAGCAUGUUUCAGGAGAAAGGCAGCACUUUAGUAUUUGACAUUAGUAAAUAUACCUUGCAGUAAGUUCAACCAAGAAAGACUAUAGUUUUUUCAUUCACAUGGGAUGAAUAUUUUUCUUUUAUGCCACUGUUUCACCAUAUAUGCCACACCAUAUAUGAUACUCUAGGAUAACCAGCCAACAAGGCAUAUUUUAAUUGCCAUGCAUGCAUAGGCAACAUGGCAGUGUAAAUACCAGAACCUGUAAGUGAGCAGCAUGCUUUACAUGGAAUGGCUGUUUCAGGGUUCCAAGGUCGUCAGCUUACUCUGUGAGCAGAGGACUUUGCAUGUUGGAGGAUGUGGAGGCAAAAUUGCUGUCUCAGGAUUACUGAUGUGUCUGAGACAAGGCAUGGGGCAAGUGGGUUGUGGGAAACUGAAAGGAGGCUUUCCCCUAUUCCUGGAAAUGUCUCUGCCCCAUCUCCAUGAAAACAUGGGGGAGCUUAGAUGUCCAGGGUGAGAUCCCACAGAGAUUUGUCAAGAACUAGGCAGGCCUGCAUUUGGGAUGCAUCCAUAGCCUGCAUCACCAUCCAUGACCUGCAGCUUGGGACUGGAAGGAGGAUGGAUAUCCAGAGAUUCCAGUCACCAAGAAGCUGCCUCUGUUAUGACUUCACUCUAACAGGCACAAAACAGGGCUAUAAUAUCUAGACAAAGUACUCUCACCCCUGUAGCUUCUUUGAUGUGCAGAGAAUUAACUGCCCAUGGGUCAGCAACAUUUUCAAGCAGCCUUACCAUGAAGUGCAACUCUAAUGAUAGAAGAGGGUCAUCUGCCUCUCCCAGGCUCCCUGGUCACUUGUGCAAGCUCAGGCAAUGAGACAAUGCAGCUGCUGGCAGCUUGAAUGCCUGGGAGUGAAAGCUAUGGGGUUUCAACUUUGAAUGCCCAGCAUUGUGAUUUAGAAGGACCUUGUUGUCCCCCUUGCUUGAAGCCAACCAACUCUCUUUAUUUAGAAAAAAUAUUAUUUUAUUUUUUAAAGAAAAAAGUCUUUGCUGAUCCAACAACUUUGCUUGUGUUCUGCUAGCUCCAGUAAUAUUGAUGUAUGGAAAGAGAUCAGCCCUGGAGUUUUAAUAAUAUGUGAGCUGCAGCCUUGCUCUGCAAGUGGAUGGGAUUGUAAUAGUGUCUGCUAAAACUAUUCCUGCCAAAACAAACACCAGGAAAGAUUUCUUUUCCGUAUACCAAAGUCUCACUUUAGCACUUGCCAGGGAACACUUUCCUCCUCCUGUCUUCUGCCUGUGCUGGACAAAUAAAGAGGGCACAGCAGUUCUGGAGGACUGCCUGAAAGGUUGUAGGCUGCAGUCCUUAAUGCAGUGCUCUUUGUAUGCUCAGAAAGGGCUUUACUCUUUCAUUUCAGAACUUUUAUAGGACCUUAGGGCUGGGGCCUGCAUUCUUCUGCAGUAAGCUCACAAAAUUAGAUUCCCUUUGGACUUGCAAACCUUGGCCACGUUCAUAUUUUAUGUGAGCCACUCUGCACAACUGAUUCUUCUGGUGUUUAUUUUUCUUGAUUUGAAAUAAUUCUUAUUUUCCUCCGAGGAAACCUUGCCUGUUAACGACUGCUAGCUGUAGCAUGCCAUCAACUAUCCUCAGGUCUUCUCCCAUGGCUCUGUCUUAUCUCAUCCAUCACCUCCAGACGUGAGGUCAGAGGUUACAUGAAGUAGAGGGAAAAAAAUUAUGCUUGUGAAGAACUGAAUUGUUUUGCUUUAAAAUGUUGUCCAGAGGUUAGUUAUAGAAGCCUUCUUGGCUCAAGUGGUCUUCUCUCCUGUAGGAAUGGGGAGUCAAAGUUUCCCAGUGGUUAAGUUGUAGCUUUGGGCAUACUGAUAACAAAAACACAUGCUACCAUACUGACUGAUGAUAAUUAGAAGAUACUCUUUGCAGUUGUGUGACUGUAUUUAUCCUUGUGGUUUUUUGGGAGUGUAUGUGUAUCUCUCUCUCUCUAUUUGUAGUUACAAAUGUCUGUGAAAGUGAGAUGUGAACCAGAUCUGUUCCUCACAGCCCCUUGCCUCUUCAAGACAACACCCAGACUCUGAAUACAAGCCCAGGAGUCACUGGAGAGGAGUUGAUUCUUCCCUCACACCAAGAUGGGGAGCAGCCAGGAGUGGUGUUGAUAUAAUGGUAGACAAAAAGUGCAGCUCUGCUAAACUGCUGUUGUAAAAGACAGGUUUUAUCUUCCUUUGAACUGACAGAGUGGCCUUGAGAAGGUGAAGAAGACCUAUCAGGUUACCCAUAGAUAAACAAAUGCAGAAACAUCUUUAA
This is a non-coding RNA of Cyanistes caeruleus (blue tit), 2523 nucleotides long. Lineage: Eukaryota; Metazoa; Chordata; Aves; Passeriformes; Paridae. The record is from RefSeq and is a predicted model, not a curated record.